GUGCCAGCAGCCGCGGUAAUACGUAGGUGGCAAGCGUUAUCCGGAAUUACUGGGCGUAAAGCGCACGCAGGCGGCGCAGCAAGUUCGACGUGAAAGCUCCCGGCUCAACUGGGAGAGGUCGUUGAAGACUGCUGUGCUUGAGGCAAUGAGAGGGGUGUAGAAUUCCCGGUGUAGUGGUGGAAUGCGUAGAUAUCGGGGGGAAUACCAGUGGCGAAAGCGGCACCCUAGCAUUAGCCUGACGCUCAUGUGCGAAAGCGUGGGGAGCGAACGGGAUUAGAUACCCCCGUAGUCC
RNAcentral lists this ribosomal RNA (292 nucleotides) under uncultured bacterium. Its description in RNAcentral is "partial 16S ribosomal RNA". It matches the Rfam family "Bacterial small subunit ribosomal RNA", at positions 505 to 796 of the family's 1533-position model. The record is from RNAcentral.